RNAcentral lists this ribosomal RNA (1969 nucleotides) under human gut metagenome. RNAcentral's name for it is "bacterial LSU rRNA". It matches the Rfam family "Bacterial large subunit ribosomal RNA", at positions 537 to 2523 of the family's 2925-position model. The record is from RNAcentral.
AGUGAAAGAGAACCUGAAACCCUGUGUUUACAAGCUGUCGGAGCACGAUAAGUGCGACGGCGUACUUUUUGUAGAACGGUCCGGCGAGUUAUGAUACGCGGUAAGGUUAAGGACUUAAGGUCCGGAGCCGAAGCGAAAGCGAGUGUUAAGAGCACGAGGAAUCACGUAUCAUAGACCCGAAACCGGGUGAUCUAUCCAUGUCCAGGAUGAAGCUGCCGUAAGAGGUAGUGGAGGUCCGAACACACAUCCGUUGAAAAGGGUGGUGAUGAGGUGUGGAUAGGGGAGAAAUUCCAAUCGAACCCGGAGAUAGCUGGUUCUCCUCGAAAUAGCUUUAGGGCUAGCCUCAUGGAUCAUUGGUGGGGGUAGAGCACUGAAUGUGCGCGGGGGCCACAAAGCCUACCAAACGCUAUCAAACUUCGAAUACCAUACAAUGCAGACCAUGGGAGUCAGUCCGCGAGAGAUAAGUUCCGCGGGCAAAAGGGGAACACCCCAGAUCAACCGCUAAGGUCCCCAAGUUCACGUUAAGUGGAGAAGGAUGUGGAAUUGCACAGACAACCAGGAUGUUGGCUCAGAAGCAGCCACACAUUUAAAGAGUGCGUAAUAGCUCACUGGUCGAGUGAUUGUGCGCCGAAGAUGUCCGGGGCUAAACGUGACACCGAAGCGAUGGGUGCGUCUGAAGAAGAUGCGCGGUAGAGGAGCAAUGUGCAGAGGCAGAAGCCGUAUCGAGAGGCACGGUGGACACUGCACAAGAGAGAAUGCCGGUAUGAGUAGCGAGAGGCAUGCGAGAAACAUGCCCGUCGAAAGCCCAAGGUUUCCUGGGGAAGGUUCAUCCGCCCAGGGUAAGUCGGGGCCUAAGCCGAGGACGGAAGUCGUAGGCGAUGGACAGCAGGUGUAGAUUCCUGCACUACCGAUGGAAUGAAGCAGUGACACAGAAGGAUAACUCGAGCAGGGUGAUGGUCAACCCUGUGCAAGCAUCAAGGUUGGGUUGUAGUGAAGUACGCAAUCCUAUAAGCUGAGGUGUGAUGCGGACCGAAAUUUCAGUAGGGAAGCGAGUGAGUUCACGCUGGCGAGAAAAGCUGCUAGUACAUCCAAAGGUACCCGUACCGGAAACCGACGCAGGUGGGCGAGGAGAGAAUCCUGAGACGAACGGGAGAACCCUUGUUAAGGAACUCGGCAAAAUGACCCCGUAACUUCGGGAUAAGGGGUGCCUGCGAGAGCAGGCCGCAGAGAAUAGUCACAAGCGACUGUUUAGCAAAAACACAGGUAUCUGCGAAAGCGAGAGCUGACGUAUAGGUGCUGACACCUGCCCGGUGCUGGAAGGUUAAGGGAACAUGUUAGAGCAAUCGAAGCAUCGAACCGAAGCCCCAGUAAACGGCGGCCGUAACUAUAACGGUCCUAAGGUAGCGAAAUUCCUUGUCGGGUAAGUUCCGACCCGCACGAAUGGUGUAACGACUUGUGAGCUGUCUCAACAGGGGGCCCGGUGAAAUUGAAGUAUGGGUGAAGAUGCCCAUUACCCGCGACUGGACGGAAAGACCCCGUAGAGCUUUACUGCAGCCUGAUAUUGAGUUUCGGUAACUGAUGCACAGGAUAGGUGGGAGUCUGAGAGACAUGGGUUUCGGCUCAUGUGGAGACGGUGUUGGGAUACCACUCUUCGGUUACUGAAAUUCUAACAUAGCUCUGUGAAACCAGAGGAUGGACAGUGUCAGGUGGACAGUUUGACUGGGGCGGUCGCCUCCGAAAGAGUAACGGAGGCGCCCAAAGGUACCCUCAGAAUGGAUGGAAACCAUUCGAAGAGCGCAAAGGCAGAAGGGUGCCUGACUGCGAGAUUGACAAAUCGAGCAGAGACGAAAGUCGGGCUUAGUGAUCCGGCGGUAUUGAGUGGAAAAGCCGUCGCUUAACGGAUAAAAGCUACCUCGGGGAUAACAGGCUGAUCUCCCCCAAGAGUCCACAUCGACGGGGAGGUUUGGCA